RNAcentral lists this ribosomal RNA (253 nucleotides) under uncultured bacterium. Its description in RNAcentral is "partial 16S ribosomal RNA". It matches the Rfam family "Bacterial small subunit ribosomal RNA", at positions 524 to 776 of the family's 1533-position model. The record is from RNAcentral.
UACGUAGGGAGCAAGCGUUGUCCGGAUUCACUGGGUGUAAAGGGUGCGCAGGCGGAUUUGUAAGUCAGAGGUGAAAUCUCACGGCUUAACCGUGAAACUGCCUUUGAUACUGCAGAUCUUGAGUUUGGGAGAGGUUGAUGGAAUUCCAGGUGUAGCGGUGAAAUGCGUAGAUAUCUGGAGGAACACCGGUGGCGAAGGCGGCAUCCUGGACCGACACUGACGCUGAGGCGCGAAAGCUAGGGUAGCAAACGGG